This 252-nucleotide ribosomal RNA is filed under the name uncultured bacterium. Its description in RNAcentral is "partial 16S ribosomal RNA". It matches the Rfam family "Bacterial small subunit ribosomal RNA", at positions 524 to 776 of the family's 1533-position model. The record is from RNAcentral.
UACGUAGGGUGCGAGCGUUAAUCGGAAUACUGGGCGUAAAGCGUGCGCAGGCGGUGAUGUAAGACAGUUGUGAAAUCCCCGGGCUCAACCUGGGAAUUGCAUCUGUGACUGCAUCGCUAGAGUACGGUAGAGGGGGAUGGAAUUCCGCGUGUAGCAGUGAAAUGCGUAGAUAUGCGGAGGAACACCGAUGGCGAAGGCAAUCCCCUGGACCUGUACUGACGCUCAUGCACGAAAGCGUGGGGAGCAAACAGG